RNAcentral lists this ribosomal RNA (549 nucleotides) under Ausejanus arvensus. RNAcentral describes it as "partial 16S ribosomal RNA". It matches the Rfam family "Bacterial large subunit ribosomal RNA", at positions 1796 to 2622 of the family's 2925-position model. Lineage: Eukaryota; Metazoa; Arthropoda; Insecta; Hemiptera; Miridae. The record is from RNAcentral.
UCGCCUGUUUAUCAAAAACAUGGUUUUUUGUUUAUAUAAAAGAUUUGGCCUGCCCAGUGAUUAUUAAAUGGCUGCAGUAUAUUGACUGUACAAAGGUAGCAUAAUCAUUUGUCUCUUAAUUGGAGUCUGGAAUGAAUGGUUGGAUGAAAAAUUUACUUUCUUUAUUUUAAAUAAAUAAUUUAAUUUUUAUAUUAAAAAGUGUAAAUAUUAAUAAAGGACGAGAAGACCCUAUAGAACUUUAUUUUUUUAUAUUAGUUAUUUUUUAGUAAAUGAUUAUUAAUUAAUAAUUGAAAAUUUUGUUGGGGUGACAAAAAAAAUUUUAUAACUUUUUUUAAUUUAUUCAUAUAUAUAUGAUUUAUUGAUCCUUUAUUAAGGAAAAAAAGAUUAAGUUACCUUAGGGAUAACAGCGUUAUUGUUUCAGAGAGUUCAUAUUGAUGAAAUAGUUUGCGACCUCGAUGUUGGAUUAAAAUUAAUUUCAGGAGUAGAAAAUUGAAAUAUUAGGUCUGUUCGACCUUUAAAUUUUUACAUGAUCUGAGUUCAAACCGGAGA